This 907-nucleotide ribosomal RNA is filed under the name uncultured bacterium. RNAcentral's name for it is "bacterial SSU rRNA". It matches the Rfam family "Bacterial small subunit ribosomal RNA", at positions 11 to 915 of the family's 1533-position model. The record is from RNAcentral.
GUUUGAUUCCUGGCUCAGAAUGAACGCUGGCGGCGUGCUUUACACAUGCAAGUCGAGCGAGGCGGGGAGCAAUCCCCAGUCGAGCGGCGAACGGGUGAGUAACGCGUGGAUGACCUGCCCUUCAGCGGGGAAUAACCCGGGGAAACUCGGGCUAAUACCGCAUACGACCGAGAGGUGAAAGGGGGCUCGCAAGAGCUCUCACUGAAGGAGGGGUCCGCGUUCGAUUAGCUAGUUGGUAGGGUAAUGGCCUACCAAGGCGACGAUCGAUAGCCGGCCUGAGAGGGUGAUCGGCCACACUGGAACUGAGACACGGUCCAGACUCCUACGGGAGGCAGCAGUGGGGAAUUUUGCGCAAUGGGCUAACGCCUGACGCAGCAACGCCGCGUGGAGGAUGAAGGUCUUUGGAUUGUAAACUCCUGUCAGCAGGGAAAAAGGGAAGGGACCUAAUACGUCCUUGACUUGAUUGUACCUGCAGAGGAAGCCCCGGCUAACUCUGUGCCAGCAGCCGCGGUAAUACAGAGGGGGCAAGCGUUAUUCGGAAUUAUUGGGCGUAAAGGGCGCGUAGGCGGCCAUUCAAGUGACGGGUGAAAGCCCUCGGCUUAACCGAGGAACUGCCUGUCAGACUGGAUGGCUUGAGACCGGGAGAGGUGAGUGGAAUUCCCAGUGUAGCGGUGAAAUGCGUAGAUAUUGGGAGGAACACCAGUGGCGAAGGCGGCUCACUGGACCGGAACUGACGCUGAGGCGCGAAAGCGUGGGGAGCAAACAGGAUUAGAUACCCUGGUAGUCCACGCCGUAAACGAUGAGUGCUUGGUGUAGCGGGUAUCGACCCCUGCUGUGCCGAAGUCAACACAUUAAGCACUCCGCCUGGGGAGUACGGUCGCAAGACUGAAACUCAAAGGAAUUGACG